UGAGGAAUUUUGCGCAAUGGGGGAAACCCUGACGCAGCAACGCCGCGUGGGUGAUGAAGGCCUUCGGGUCGUAAAGCCCUGUCGGGCGGGAAGAACGUCCCUUCGGGGAAUGACGGUACCGCCAGAGGAAGCACCGGCUAACUCCGUGCCAGCAGCCGCGGUAAUACGGAGGGUGCAAGCGAUAUUCGGAAUUACUGGGCGUAAAGGGCGUGCAGGCGGGGGAGGAAGCUUGAGGUGAAAGCCCGGGGCUUAACCCCGGAAGGGCAUUGGAAACUGCUUUUCUUGAGUUCUGGAGAGGAAGGGAGAAUUCCCGGUGUAGAGGUGAAAUUCGUAGAGAUCGGGAGGAACAUCUGUGGCGAAGGCGCCCUUCUGGACAGCAACUGACGCUGAGACGCGAAAGCGUGGGGAGCAAACA
This 415-nucleotide ribosomal RNA is filed under the name uncultured prokaryote. RNAcentral describes it as "bacterial SSU rRNA". It matches the Rfam family "Bacterial small subunit ribosomal RNA", at positions 355 to 774 of the family's 1533-position model. The record is from RNAcentral.